Molecule: long non-coding RNA, 613 nt
Organism: Cololabis saira (Pacific saury)
Lineage: Eukaryota; Metazoa; Chordata; Actinopteri; Beloniformes; Belonidae
Exons: 3
Source: RefSeq, a predicted model, not a curated record
UGCAACAGAGAGUAAUGUCCUAAGCCGAGCCUCACCCAUUUAUGGCGCAGUAACAUUUCACAGCACACUGCUCUCUUUGUCUGCAAAGAAGCCAUUUUGAGACAGAGAACAGAAGAGAAACACAGGGCAAGCAAAGCCUACUUACCAACUAAAAGGUUUCUUUGGAUAAAGGGAAGCAGUGAAAAAAAACACAAGAUUUAUCCCCUCAUGAUUCCUUUGCUCGUUUAAGACUUGGAUUACAUGUUUUGAAUAUCAACUUUUUAUGAGGUAUCACAGCAAGAAAUGUCGAAAUGGACGAGGUUAUACUCGACUGCAAUCCUGUCUUGAAGAAGAGAGAAGAGAUGGUUUGCAUAUUUGCCCACACAGAUGAUGCUUGAAGAUGCAUAUUCGCUGGCUGAGAGGGAGACGCUUUCCCACCCCUUAUUAAAGCCAUUAUUAAAGGAUCCGGAGAUGGAGCUGAAAACAGUCCUUCCCCUGCGUUUAGGCCUGUUAACUGAAUCUGUGCUGAGGUAAAUAUUUUCACCAUGAAAGCUUUCCCUCCAUCUGUUUCCUCUAAGAUUUAUCUGGUUUUGUUUUACUUAAAUCGGUGUACACUAGUAUUUCCCCCUGUCCU